RNAcentral lists this ribosomal RNA (106 nucleotides) under Klebsiella aerogenes. RNAcentral's name for it is "partial 23S ribosomal RNA". It matches the Rfam family "Bacterial large subunit ribosomal RNA", at positions 2820 to 2925 of the family's 2925-position model. The record is from RNAcentral. Lineage: Bacteria; Pseudomonadati; Pseudomonadota; Gammaproteobacteria; Enterobacterales; Enterobacteriaceae.
GAGUCUCCUGAAGGAACGUUAAAGACGAUGACGUUGAUAGGUCGGGUGUGUAAGCGUAGCGAUACGUUGAGCUAACCGAUACUAAUGAACCGUGAGGCUUAACCUU